Hordeum vulgare subsp. vulgare (domesticated barley) is the source of this 1404-nucleotide long non-coding RNA. RefSeq lists it as uncharacterized. NCBI's taxonomy places the organism in Eukaryota, Viridiplantae, Streptophyta, Magnoliopsida, Poales, Poaceae. The record is from RefSeq and is a predicted model, not a curated record. The transcript is spliced from 6 exons.
UUUACACUAGAUUAGAUGGUUUCAAGAGAUUAGACGUUACCCCAUUAGUUGCGUGUACAGGGAUUGAUUCCAUCAGUUACCGUAGCCACCAUCAGUUAGAUUAGAUGAUACUCGAUUACAUGGUUUCGGGAGAGAGACGUGUUGAUCAUACUUGCUUGAAUCACGAAUUCACGCUCUUCUUUGCACUGUCAGCAUGCAAUUACAAUUUAUUCAUAUUCCUCAAUGCACAUAUAUAGAAUGCCGUAUGCAACACUUUCUUUAGAUGGUUUCAACAGGCAAACGGCUCGAUCAUACUUGAUUAAUUCAGGAACUGAUGUCCUUCUCGGCACAGUCAUCAUGCAGUUAUGAUUUAUUCAUAUUCCUCAAUGCACGGGGAAUGCCCAAACCAACACUUUUUAUGGGAAUGAAUGUUUCCCUCAGUUAUGUUAUAUUUACUAGUCACGGAAGGUGGAUUCUUAUAAAACAAGUUGUAGAAGGUGCAUACUGUUUGUCUGUUGCCCAGUUGUGACCUUUAGUUUCUUUUCAUCGGUGACCAGAGAGCCUUGCAAGAUGACUUGUCGAGGAGGAUGUCUUCAUACCCUGCCAGGUCACCUUCUUGUGUGCACGGCGAAUCUCGGCUGCAGCUGGCAAAAAUGCCAACCAACCUAUCCACCGCUGGAGCCCCUCUCUUCCGGAUAGCAGGGUUGGUGCUCAUUAUUAUUCAUAUGAACCUCUUUGGUGGGUCGACAUGAGAACAACAAGGCGUAUACAUGAAUCCGAGGAGCCCACGUUGCGAUUCAGCUCAUCUCCAGUUCAUGGGGUUGGUGCUGAUUGACGCUGACUUGGCGGCGUUUGAGGUUGAGUACAGCAACUGGGUGGACAAAAAGACCUCAACCGGUUGACUGCAGAACAACAACAUCAAUGGGCUAAUCCCAGCAGCAGCCUUGGCAAGCUAACAAAGAUUAGGAUGCUUCACUUCUCCGGUGAAAUCCCCAGCUUCUAACAGGAGGCAAACCUAGCCGCAACACAGAGCAACCUUGUUGCUGGGCGUACCAUGGUGAGGAAAGUUUGGUCGACACCUUUUCUUCUUUGGUUCUGGUAUAGAUGCAGAUUCAUGGCAGUGAGAGAUUGAUGAUGCUGAGGUCGUUACCCCCAAAAUUAGCAAGACGCGGAAGGGCUGAGAUGUGGAAGCAUUAUGUUGUGUAAAAAGACAAGAUGAGUCAGAUUUGUGUUUUUCUUUGUUGGUUGGUGGAUGUGUAAGUGUUCUUGUACACAAGAUAAAAUGGCUUUGGUUUCAUGGCUGGUAGGAGGCGUUGAAGCCAUGAGACCUCAAGUGUUGAAUACUGAUGUUUGUCACCUUGUUUAUGGGAAUGUUGUUCCCAACCACUAAAAAAAAGCAAUGAAGUCUUGAGGUAUUGCGAGCAA